RNAcentral lists this ribosomal RNA (253 nucleotides) under uncultured bacterium. RNAcentral's name for it is "partial 16S ribosomal RNA". It matches the Rfam family "Bacterial small subunit ribosomal RNA", at positions 524 to 776 of the family's 1533-position model. The record is from RNAcentral.
UACAGAGGGUGCGAGCGUUAAUCGGAAUUACUGGGCGUAAAGCGCACGUAGGUGGCGACGUAAGUCGGGUGUGAAAGCCCCGGGCUCAACCUGGGAAUUGCAUUCGAGACUGCAUUGCUGGAGUACGGUAGAGGGAAGCGGAAUUUCCGGUGUAGCGGUGAAAUGCGUAGAUAUCGGAAGGAACAUCAGUGGCGAAAGCGGCUUCCUGGACCAGUACCGACGUUCAGGCACGAAAGCGUGGGGAGCAAACAGG